Molecule: transfer RNA, 90 nt
Filed under: Candidatus Uhrbacteria bacterium CG22_combo_CG10-13_8_21_14_all_47_17
Lineage: Bacteria; Candidatus Uhriibacteriota
Description: tRNA-Ser
Rfam family: tRNA
About the family: Transfer RNA (tRNA) molecules are approximately 80 nucleotides in length. Their secondary structure includes four short double-helical elements and three loops (D, anti-codon, and T loops).
Source: RNAcentral
GGAGAGGUGGCUGAGUGGUCGAAGGCAACGGACUUGAAAUCCGUCGUACGUGAAAGCGUACCGUGGGUUCGAAUCCCACCCUCUCCGCCA